This 588-nucleotide ribosomal RNA is filed under the name Pipunculus spinipes. RNAcentral describes it as "eukaryotic LSU rRNA". The record is from RNAcentral. Lineage: Eukaryota; Metazoa; Arthropoda; Insecta; Diptera; Pipunculidae.
AGUACGUGAAACUGCUUAGAGGUUAAGCCCGAUGAACCUGAAUAUCCAUUAUGGAAAAUUCACCACUUAAUACCAAUAGUAUUAUAAUUAAUAUUAUGGGAACAGUGUGCACUUUUUCCAUAAAGGACAUUGUAAUCUGUUAAUGUUAAAAAUAUUUAUCAAAAGAUCAGUAACUUAAGUUUAUUCGAAUUUUUUUGGCUUGUUCAAAUUAACAUAGAAUAAAGGUCAUUGAUUUGAUAAAGCGUUGACAGAUUUGUUAUAUAUAGUGCUUAAAUUCUUUUGAAUUUUACAAUAGCAUAAAUAAUCAUAUGAUUUUUAUGUUUACUAUUGUAUGCGCUUAUAUGAUUUACAAUGCGAUAGAUUCAGGAUACCUUCGGGACCCGUCUUGAAACACGGACCAAGGAGUCUAACAUAUGUGCAAGCUAUUGGGAUAUUUUUCAAAAUAAACCCAAAAGCGAAAUUAACUUAACUGUUAAAAUGGGAUUAGUUUAUAUUUUAUUUAUUUAAAAUUUUAAAUUCAAUCCCGGGGCGUUCUAUAUAGUUAUGUAUAAUAAUGUUUUAUAUGUUAUUUAUACCUCUAACUAGAGC